AACGAACGCUUGCGGCAUGCCUAACACAUGCAAGUCGAACGAGAUCUUCGGGUCUAGUGGCGCACGGGUGCGUAACGCGUGGGAAUCUGCCCUUUGGUUCGGAAUAACAGUUGGAAACGCCUCCUAAUACCGGAUGAUGACGAGAGUCUAAAGAUUUAUCGCCAGAGGAUGAGCCCGCGUAGGAUUAGCUAGUUGGUGUGGUAAAGGCGCACCAAGGCGACGAUCCUUAGCUGGUCUGAGAGGAUGUUCAGCCACACUGGGACUGAGACACGGCCCAGACUCCUACGGGAGGCAGCAGUGGGGAAUAUUGGACAAUGGGCGAAAGCCUGAUCCAGCAAUGCCGCGUGAGUGAUGAAGGCCUUAGGGUUGUAAAGCUCUUUUGCCCGGGAUGAUAAUGACAGUACCGGGAGAAUAAGCUCCGGCUAACUCCGUGCCAGCCGCCGCGGUAA
RNAcentral lists this ribosomal RNA (449 nucleotides) under uncultured bacterium. Its description in RNAcentral is "partial 16S ribosomal RNA". It matches the Rfam family "Bacterial small subunit ribosomal RNA", at positions 29 to 523 of the family's 1533-position model. The record is from RNAcentral.